This 253-nucleotide ribosomal RNA is filed under the name uncultured bacterium. RNAcentral's name for it is "partial 16S ribosomal RNA". It matches the Rfam family "Bacterial small subunit ribosomal RNA", at positions 524 to 776 of the family's 1533-position model. The record is from RNAcentral.
UACGUAGGGUGCGAGCGUUAAUCGGAAUUACUGGGCGUAAAGCGCACGUAGGCGGAUUUGUAAGUCAGGGGUGAAAUCCCGGGGCUCAACCUCGGAACUGCCUUUGAUACUGCAAGUCUCGAGUCCGAUAGAGGUGAGUGGAAUUCCUAGUGUAGAGGUGAAAUUCGUAGAUAUUAGGAAGAACACCAGUGGCGAAGGCGACUCACUGGCCCAUUACUGACGCUGAGGCGCGAAAGCGUGGGGAGCAAACAGG